RNAcentral lists this ribosomal RNA (620 nucleotides) under uncultured bacterium. RNAcentral describes it as "bacterial SSU rRNA". The stretch from base 1 to 523 matches the Rfam family "Bacterial small subunit ribosomal RNA", at positions 338 to 873 of the family's 1533-position model. The record is from RNAcentral.
CCUACGGGAGGCAGCAGUGGGGAAUAUUGCACAAUGGGCGCAAGCCUGAUGCAGCAACGCCGCGUGAGGGACGACGGCCUUCGGGUUGUAAACCUCUUUUAGUAGGGAAGAAGCGAAAGUGACGGUACCUGCAGAAAAAGCACCGGCUAACUACGUGCCAGCAGCCGCGGUAAUACGUAGGGUGCAAGCGUUAUCCGGAAUUAUUGGGCGUAAAGAGCUCGUAGGCGGUUUGUCGCGUCUGCUGUGAAAACUGGAGGCUCAACCUCCAGCCUGCAGUGGGUACGGGCAAACUAGAGUGCGGUAGGGGAGAUUGGAAUUCCUGGUGUAGCGGUGGAAUGCGCAGAUAUCAGGAGGAACACCGAUGGCGAAGGCAGAUCUCUGGGCCGUAACUGACGCUGAGGAGCGAAAGCAUGGGGAGCGAACAGGAUUAGAUACCCUGGUAGUCCAUGCCGUAAACGUUGGGCGCUAGAUGUGGGGACCCAUUCCACGGUUUUCCGUGUCGCNGCUACGCAUAGCGCCCGCCCGUCGGGAGGUACGGCCGGCCGACGGACGUAAACCUAACAAACUAGAAGUUAGUACGGCGUGAGACGUGCCGACGGACGACGACGAGGGAGGUUAGG